AGAUUUUCUAUCUAGAACCAGCAACAAACAACCGCUCAGACACUGCUCAUUCAUUUUUUCUGAAGGCAGUGGAAGACUAUGGCUGGCCUUCCAGAGGUGAUCAAGGCGUUGAAAAUGGGGCCCACCCUUUACGAUCUGAAGGAGGACUCUCCCCCAACCAGCUCGGGGUUUUGGGUCACAUAAAGAACCCUUGUGAUGUGAAUGAAGAUUUGCAGAACAUGGAUCUAUUUGGAACUGACUAGGAAAUGUUCGAUGAUGUGCAUGAGGAACCAUAUGGGGUUCAAGUCCAGGAAAUUGAGUGCCCUCUGA
Notolabrus celidotus (New Zealand spotty) is the source of this 309-nucleotide long non-coding RNA. RefSeq lists it as uncharacterized. The record is from RefSeq and is a predicted model, not a curated record. NCBI's taxonomy places the organism in Eukaryota, Metazoa, Chordata, Actinopteri, Labriformes, Labridae. The transcript is spliced from 3 exons.